This 523-nucleotide ribosomal RNA is filed under the name uncultured bacterium. RNAcentral describes it as "partial 16S ribosomal RNA". It matches the Rfam family "Bacterial small subunit ribosomal RNA", at positions 28 to 523 of the family's 1533-position model. The record is from RNAcentral.
GACGAACGCUGGCGGCGUGCCUAAUACAUGCAAGUCGAACGCUUUUUCUUUCACCGGAGCUUGCUCCACCGAAAGAAAAAGAGUGGCGAACGGGUGAGUAACACGUGGGUAACCUGCCCAUCAGAAGGGGAUAACACUUGGAAACAGGUGCUAAUACCGUAUAACACUAUUUUCCGCAUGGAAGAAAGUUGAAAGGCGCUUUUGCGUCACUGAUGGAUGGACCCGCGGUGCAUUAGCUAGUUGGUGAGGUAACGGCUCACCAAGGCAACGAUGCAUAGCCGACCUGAGAGGGUGAGCGGCCACACUGGGACUGAGACACGGCCAAGACUCCGACGGGAGGCAGCAGUAGGGAAUCUUCGGCAAUGGACGAAAGUCUGACCGAGCAACGCCGCGUGAGUGAAGAAGGUUUUCGGAUCGUAAAACUCUGUUGUUAGAGAAGAACAAGGAUGAGAGUAAAACGUUCAUCCCUUGACGGUAUCUAACCAGAAAGCCACGGCUAACUACGUGCCAGCAGCCGCCGUAA